This is a non-coding RNA of Gallus gallus (chicken), 440 nucleotides long. The record is from the annotation of a RefSeq genome assembly. Lineage: Eukaryota; Metazoa; Chordata; Aves; Galliformes; Phasianidae.
UGUCCUUCCCCACAGGGCUGAUGGCGGCCGUGACGUUGGAUGAGUCCGGGGGCGGCCUCCAGACGCCCGGAGGAGCGCUCAGCCUCGUCUGCAAGGGCUCCGGGUUCUCCUUCAGCAGUUACACCAUGCAGUGGGUGCGCCAGGCGCCCGGCAAGGGGCUGGAAUGGGUCGCUGGUAUUUACAGUGGUAGUAGCACAUACUACGGGGCGGCGGUGAAGGGCCGUGCCACCAUCUCGAGGGACAACGGGCAGAGCACAGUGAGGCUGCAGCUGAACAACCUCAGGGCUGAGGACACCGGCAUCUACUUCUGCGCCAAAAGUGCUGGUGGUUAUGGUUGUGCUUAUGGUUGGUGUGCUGCUGAUCUUGGUUACAUGGACGGCACGGGGACACGAGUUCAUCUGCAUCUGGGAUGGUUCCUCCUGGGAUGCAGAGCUGUGUGA